AUUGAAAACAAAACAGUUCGCCUUACAUUAAGAGCUGGGGUUGCGAUGCCCCAGCUACUUCAUUUAUAUGUGGCACAGUUGGGCACACAUCCUCUUACGGUUGUUCCAAAUGUACGCAAGUAGCGAAACAAAUUGAUCACGUUUUAACUAACAGUAUAGAUUCCGGCCCACUGAUUUCCGUUGAAGAUUUUAAGAAAAGGCGGCUAAAACUCACUAAAACACGGAAUUUCGGCAAUUUUUCCUCUAUACGGGUAUUUUAGUACUAAAAGGAAGCAUUCAUAAUGAGCUUUAUUAUGAAUUUCUCCUACUGCACUACUCAUGCAGAUUAUUAUCAUGCCCAAAAAGCUACGAGCGAAAUAUAAAACUUUGUCAGGAUAUGCUGAAGCUGUUUGUGCAAAAAUUUUCCAGAAGUGUUCAAGGAAAAUAGCGUAAGUUUUAAUCUACACAGCCUUUUGCAUCUCACAGACUGUGCAUAACAAUUCGGAAUUUUGCAAAAUUUUUCAGCUUACAACUUUGAAAAUUACUUGCAAAUUUUAAAAAGUUACGUUAAAAAACCCGCACAUAUACUGCAACAAAUUUACACCAACGUUUCCCGCGAAAAGCCUAAUAUACAAACUCAACAAGAAGGAUUUUUAGAAGAAAAAAAUCGAAUAAAGUUUGUCACGUCGGAAUAUAUUUUUAGCGUCGAUUUUCCCGACAACUAUUGUUUUAUCGAGCCUAAUAUACCCUUCCAUAUAGCAGCUUUCAAUAAAGAAAAAAAACUUGUAAUAGGAAAGCGACUUUUAAAUCCAACGGCGUUUCUUGAGGAACCUAUAGAUUCAUUAAAAUAUUUAGGAAUAUGUUUGAUCAAUUUAAAUCGCAGCAGCAUAGACGAAAGUUUUCUUCUAUCCCAAAUCAGAUGUAAGUGCAUAGGUUUACCUCACCAGGAUAAAAUUGUCUUGAUUCCAAUCUUACCAGGCUGCUUUUGAACUCAAUAAAAAUUUAGUAUUUAUUUAAAUGUACAAAUAACUAAGCAUUAUAAUUUAUUUAUUUAUAAGCGGACCCUCAAAAAUGGAAAAACGGCCAUCAAAGUACGUUAAACGCACGAAGACAAACGUGGAAACAAAAGGUAAAUAUUGAAAAUUAAAAUGUACUUUUAUUACAAAUUCAUUAUUUUUGUGCAGAUGAAAACCGGUGUGAGAAUUGCGUGAGACUGGAAGAAAUAUUUGAAACAUAAAUAGAUGAGAAAAUUUCAGGAAAUAAAAGGUAUGUAUGUAUAUAAACCCUUGUGAGAAUAUUAAAAAAAAAAACUUUUACUUCUAUAUUUUCAGAUUCAAUAUCUCAACUUCAUUCAUUCGUAACAGAGGAACUAAAAAAUUCGACCACUCAUCAAAAUACAGUUGUGAUGGAAGCAUUGGCUGAACAAAAUGUUCUUAU
Rhagoletis pomonella (apple maggot) is the source of this 1416-nucleotide long non-coding RNA. RefSeq lists it as uncharacterized. NCBI's taxonomy places the organism in Eukaryota, Metazoa, Arthropoda, Insecta, Diptera, Tephritidae. The transcript has 2 exons. The record is from RefSeq and is a predicted model, not a curated record.